UGGCACCCAAUGUUGAGGCUUGAGAACGUGGAGGAUCGGUGAACAUUGCACACCAAAGCAGGCCUGCAUAUCAGUUGGACAACCAUGGAGAAUGCUCCAUGAGCGAAGGUCCGUUUCAGUGACCGCCACGGGGAUACCUGACCGUGAGACAGAUCCGGGGAGUUGAUUUGUGCUGACACAAGGUAACUUUACCAUGGGACAAGCAUUCAGUAAUCAGGAUUUAUUUAUUUCAGGACUUAAACAGUCUUUCAAGACACAAGGAGUAAGGGUUAAAAAGAAAGAUUUAAAAAAGUUUCUUGAUUAUAUUGGUGACCUUUGUCCCU
Neotoma lepida (desert woodrat) is the source of this 323-nucleotide regulatory RNA element. It matches the Rfam family "Mason-Pfizer monkey virus packaging signal". Rfam says of the family: The packaging signal is located in the 5' UTR and is required for specific RNA encapsidation. The record is from Rfam. Lineage: Eukaryota; Metazoa; Chordata; Mammalia; Rodentia; Cricetidae.